UCAUUCUUUACAAUACCAGAACCAGAAGCUUCAGUCUUGAAAAAUCUCACUUUCUUUCUCUCUCGUGGUCGUAGCAAACCCUAGAUCGAAUCAUGUCUGGAGGGUACGGUCAUGAUGCCGGAGGUGGCUCUGCGCCACCUUCCUAUGGAGCUAGCGGUGGAUACGGUUCAUCUGGCGGUAAUUACGGAGGUGGAGGUGGUGGUAAUUAUGGUGGCGGAGGCUAUGGAGGAGGUGUCGCUGGUGGUGGCUAUGGUGGAAAUGAAAGCGGUGGAGGUUAUGGAGCAAAAGGAAGCGGAAACGGAGCUGGUGGUGGAUAUGGUGGUAACGAUGGUGGAGGUUAUGGUGGAAGGAGUGGAUAUGGUGGAAACGAUGGAGGUGGUUAUGGUGGAAGAGGUGGCGGCGGUAGAGGAGGUGGUGGUGGUGGUGGAGGAGGAUAUGGAGGUCGCGGUGGUGGUGGUGAUCGCGGUUUUCAAGGUGGAGACCGUGGAGGUCGAGGUGGUGGUGGUCGUGGCGGUGGCGGCCGUGGUGGUGGAAGUGGCAGAGAUGGAGAUUGGCGUUGUCCUAACGAAAGUUGUGGGAACGUGAACUUUGCUAGAAGGAAUGAAUGUAACAAAUGCGGUACUCCAUGUCCUAGCAGUGGUAAUGACCGCGGCGGUAGUGGUGGUGGUUAUAAUAGAGGAGGAAGUGAUGGAGGAUACGGCAGUAACAGAGGAGGUAGGUCCGGGAACUACGAUGGAGGAAGAAAUAAUGAUUAUAAUGGUGGAAGGAGUAGUAACAAUGAUGGAAGAGGUGGAGGGAGCAAUAGAGGUGGCUCAUAUGGUGGUAAUCAAGGCAGAGAUGAUGGUGGCUAUGGUCAAGCUCCUCCUCCAGCUGCUCCUCAGUCUUAUGGAGGUGGUGGUAGUGGAAAUUACCCACCUACUUAUGGUGGGAAUGCAAACUAUGGAACAGAUGCUGUUCCUCCACCUACAAGCUAUACCGGCGGACCUAAUUCGUAUCCUCCUUCAUAUGGGGGUAACACGGGUGGUUAUGGUGGAAACAAUCAAGGUGAUGCACGGAGUGGUGGUAGGUCUGCGCCUCCAGCUGGACAUGACAGUGGUAAUCGCGGUGGAUUUGGUGGAGCUCCUGCAGAGUCAGCUGCUCCUGUGAAGCAGUGCGAUGAGAAUUGUGGAGAUACAUGUGACAACUCUAGAAUCUACAUCUCAAAUUUACCACCUGAUGUGACUGCUGAUGAAUUGCAGCAACUUUUUGGAGGCAUUGGAAUGGUUGGAAGAAUAAAACAGAAGAGGGGUUAUAAAGAUCAAUGGCCAUACAACAUUAAAAUUUACACUGAUGAAAGUGGAAAAAACAAGGGUGAUGCGUGCCUUGCUUACGAAGAUCCUUCUGCUGCUCACUCUGCUGGUGGAUUUUACAAUGAUUAUGAGUUGAGGGGUUACAAAAUCAGUGUUGCGAUGGCAGAGAAAUCUGCACCAAGGGCUCCACAAGCAAAUAACUACGGGUAUGCAUUACAGACUAAUACUUGCUUAUGUUGUAGAUUGGGAUUGAAAAUACGCGUUAUUUUCAUAAUAAUUAAAAAGUGUUCACUCGUUAAAUUUCUAUGCAUAUCUUUUAUUUUGUGUUCACUCAAUAAAUUUCUAUGCAUAUCUUUUAUUUUUCAUGUUUUUAAGCAUAAAUGUCAUAGGUGGACAGUAUUGAGCUCAUCAACUUCCGAUCAUCAUACAAUAAUUAAAAUAAACAAUGAUUGUUAAAUUUAGUUUUAGGUUUUCAAAUUGGAUUUUUGUACUUUCAAUUAAUUGGUAUGUAUGUUUUUAUUGCAUUGAUGACUUGAUGCAUCUACUGACCAUGUUCAUAUAUACAACUGUGUGUUUCUUUUUGAAAAUGAAAAUUCUAUCCCUCCUUGGAAGUUCAAAACUAAUUGUUUUUCUUUGUUUUAUAGGGGCAAUAGAGGUGGCUAUGGUGGAGAUAGGCGCAGAGACAAUUCCGGUCCUGAUAGACGAGAUCAUUAUAGUGGGAAUCGCUCACGCCCAUACUAGAGCUUUGUCGUUGAACGUUUUAUGUACUUUGAACUGUGGUCUGAGGGAUUUAUUAUUUCAGUUGGCUGGUUUCUUGAACUGGAUGCUAAGAGAGGCAUGUGGAUAGUCUCCAAAUAAUUGCUGCUAAGGUAGGUUGAUUAUUUCAGGUGAGUGCUGUUUUCAUGAAAACAUGCUUUAUGCUUGCUUGAAAUUAAACCAUGUGUCACUAUGUGGAUCCAUGGCUCAUCCCAUGUGGCAUCUGGUACAAGCCUGUGAUUGCACUAAUGAAUAGAAUACUGUAUAUCAGUCAUAUUUUGAUGGAUCAAUUAAUCCCAGUGUUUCAAAUGCAAUUUGUUUUGUCAGGAUAUUACUGAUUCUGCCUGUAGUUAUCUAAAAUAUCAUUCACAAUCGUUUCAUUACAAGUUAUAUAAUGAUGGCCUGUUGGUAGGCAUUGUAA
This is an RNA transcript of Trifolium pratense (red clover), 2466 nucleotides long. It is a transcript of the gene named transcription initiation factor TFIID subunit 15b, with no coding region annotated. The transcript is spliced from 6 exons. The record is from RefSeq and is a predicted model, not a curated record. Lineage: Eukaryota; Viridiplantae; Streptophyta; Magnoliopsida; Fabales; Fabaceae.